AGAGAGAGACAUGCGCGCAUAUCAAUAAGCGGAGGAAAAGAAACUAACAAGGAUUCCCCUAGUAACGGCGAGUGAAGCGGGAAGAGCUCAAAUUUGAAAUCUUAAAGGGUUUCCCUUUACGAAUUGUAGUUUAAAGAAGUGUUUUCUGUUGAGGUUUUGGUAAAAGUUCUUUGGAAUAGGACAUCAUAGAGGGUGAGAAUCCCGUAUUUGACCUUUACUUUCAACUGUGUGAUACACUUUCAAAGAGUCGGAUUGUUUGGGAAUGCAGUCCAAAAUGGGUGGUAAAUUUCAUCUAAAGCUAAAUAUUGGCGAGAGACCGAUAGCGAACAAGUACCGUGAGGGAAAGAUGAAAAGAACUUUGAAAAGAGAGUUAAACAGUACGUGAAAUUGUCAAAAGGGAAGCGUUUGACACCAGUGUUGUUUUUCUGAAAAUCAAUUAAAGAACUGUUUAUGCUAAGUUGUUUAGACUUUAUCAGCUAACUGUUUAGUUUUGAGCUUUUCUUUAAUGCACUUUUCAGUUAACAAGUCAACAUCAAUUUCUUUUGCUGUAAAAAAGCUUGAGGAAGGUGGCUUGAGAUUCGUCUUAAGUGUUUAUAGCCUCUUGCCUAUGCAGUCGGAGAGAUUGAGGUCUGCAGCGUAGAUCCUUCGGGGCUAAAUGCAUUUGUGCUAAGUUAUAGCAUUUUAUAGACAACUUGUUGACUAUGAUUUGUCUUGUAGCUUACUCGCUUAUGUUAUUUUACCUACGCUUAGGAUGUUGAACGCAUGUCUCUCUCU
RNAcentral lists this ribosomal RNA (774 nucleotides) under uncultured Neocallimastigales. RNAcentral describes it as "partial large subunit ribosomal RNA". It matches the Rfam family "Eukaryotic large subunit ribosomal RNA", at positions 23 to 616 of the family's 3401-position model. Lineage: Eukaryota; Fungi; Neocallimastigomycota; Neocallimastigomycetes; Neocallimastigales. The record is from RNAcentral.